RNAcentral lists this long non-coding RNA (1046 nucleotides) under Pan troglodytes (chimpanzee). RNAcentral's name for it is "long non-coding RNA NONPTRT004217". Lineage: Eukaryota; Metazoa; Chordata; Mammalia; Primates; Hominidae. The record is from RNAcentral.
CACUAACCCUCCUUUUCCUUCCACCACAUCCCCCUCCCAUCCAAGAUUAAAUCACCUCCCACCUGGCACACCUCUGACAUUAAGGAUGACACGUGACUUUUAGAGGGACACAUAGCCGACCCAUAUUAUUCUGACCCUGAUACCCCAGAACCUCAUGUCCUUCUCACAGAGCAAAACACAAUCAUGCCUUUUCAAAAGUUUCCAAAAGUCUUAACUCAUUCCAAACGUAAAAAUUUCAAAGUCUCAUCUGAGACAAGGUUACGAUCCCUUCUGCCAAUGAGUCCCUGAAUUUAAAAGGGAUUUCUUUUCCUUCAAGGUACAAUAGGCAUUUGGUAAGUUUUCUCAAACCAAAGGGAAGAAAUUCCCCAGAAAAAUAACACAAAUGCAAGUCCAAACCCCAGCAGGACAGUAUUCAUUCAAUCUCACAGCUCCGUAAUCAUCAAGAGAACUCACUAUCAUGCAGACAGCAUUAAGGAGACAGUGUUAAACCAUUUACAAAGAAUCCAAUCCCCACCCUCAUCUUUCACCCCCAUCCACAAAAUAAUCUCCCCCAUUCUCCCCACACCCCUACUUCCAACACCCACUUUUCGCCAUGAUUAAAUCACCUCCCACGAGGCCCCAACUUUAACAUUCACCAUCACAAUUCCAUGAGAGUAUUGGUAGGGACAAAAAGUCAAAUAUUAUUCUGACUCGGGUCUCCCCCAACCUCAUAUCCUUGUCACACUACAAAAUACAAUGAUGCCUUCUGUACAGUCCCCCAAAGUCUUAACUCAUUCCAGCAUUUACUGAAAUGCCCAAAGCCCAGAGUCUCAUCUGAGACAAGUCUACAGUCCCUUCUGCUCAUGAGCCACUGAAUUAUAUAUAAAGCAAGUUUACUACUUCCAAGGUGCAAUGAUUGUACAGGCGUUGGGUAAGCAUUCCCAGCCAAAAGGAAAAAAAUUGCCAGAAAGAAGCACAAAAAACAGAUGGGACUUACAGACCCCAUGCAAGUCAAAAACCCAGCAGGCCAGUCAUUGAAUCCUACAGCUCCCAAGUCAUCUUUUCUG